UCGAGGAUCAUUCGCAAUGCGCGAAAGCGUGACGAUGCGACGCUGCGUGGAGGAUGACGGCCUUCGGGUUGUAAACUCCUGUCAUCCGGGAGCAAUGAUUUCGGCGAUAACAUCGCCGGAGUGUGAUAGUACCGGAAAAGGAAGCCACGGCUAACUCUGUGCCAGCAGCCGCGGUAAUACAGAGGUGGCGAGCGUUGUUCGGAUUUACUGGGCGUAAAGGGUGCGUAGGCGGCUUUGCAAGUCGGGUGUGAAAUCUCACCGCUCAACGGUGAAACUGCAUUCGAUACUGCAGGGCUAGAGUGCAGGAGAGGAAGGCGGAAUUCUUGGUGUAGCGGUGGAAUGCGUUGAUAUCAAGAAGAACACCGGUGGCGAAGGCGGCCUUCUGGAAUGCAACUGACGCUGAGGCACGAAAGUUGGGGUAGCAAACAGGAUUAGAUACCCUGGUAGUCCCAACUGUAAACGUUGUGCACUUGGUGUGGGGGGAUUUGACCCCCUCCGUGCCGUAGCUAACGCGAUAAGUGCACCGCCUGGGGAGUACGGCCGCAAGGCUA
RNAcentral lists this ribosomal RNA (551 nucleotides) under uncultured bacterium. Its description in RNAcentral is "bacterial SSU rRNA". It matches the Rfam family "Bacterial small subunit ribosomal RNA", at positions 355 to 896 of the family's 1533-position model. The record is from RNAcentral.